Lutra lutra (Eurasian river otter) is the source of this 2561-nucleotide long non-coding RNA. RefSeq lists it as uncharacterized. The record is from RefSeq and is a predicted model, not a curated record. Lineage: Eukaryota; Metazoa; Chordata; Mammalia; Carnivora; Mustelidae. The transcript is spliced from 4 exons.
AGUAAAGGAAAUAUCCAGAGAAGAGGUGCUUGGAAGAAGGCUAUGGUCUGGUGUCUCACGUGAGUACAUUCCAGCCGAUACCAGUUUUCCUAGGUGGCUGUGAUGCUUCGGAAUUAAGAUCCAGAGAUCAGGAGAUGCAGGCUUAAAGGCUGGGAGAGUGAUGUUGACCUCCGGGCCCCACUGGGAAGAGUCCCUGGCAGGCUACGGUGUUCUACUGGAGGCUGUCCAAUCUGAGCAGGUGCUGUCAGUUUUUAUGGGAGAUGAGAUGUACAGACCACAGUUCUGAUAUAAAGAAGAUUCUCUUCCGGGGGAGAAGGGAAGACGUAUCCAUCAUUAAACCGGGUGGUACACAAUCAUUCAGCCUCAAAUAAAUCCUCCUUUAUAUGUAUACAUCUAUCUUCCGACUGGGAAGCCAGGACUAUAGUGGAUCUCGAGACGCCCAUGGAAGGACGCCUGCAUCAGUCACCCAGGCCCAGGCACAGAGAUACCCACUGGCUGCCAGAACACUUCAUUCCAUACGUUACUGACAACAAAGAGACGCUUAGAAUUCCUGAACUAACUGUGUCCAUCUGGUAGCAUGGACCCACACAGCUGCAGAUAUACUGGAAUUCGGCUCCGCUAGAAGCAGCUAGAGGAUGCGGCCUUCUGCACUUGGCCCCCAAGUGCUAAUUUAGAGAACAGCAGCUCUGCGGGAGCGUCUAAAUCCUUAAGGCAGAAAAACGGAUCAACUCAGCUCAAAUCUGUGACAACAGCCUGUGAAAAGAAAGGCUCUUGCCCUUUAGGACUUUCCUCUAUCGCGGUGUCUCCGACAGCACAGGAGGCAGAGCCGAUGGGCGCCGGCCUCAGAGCUCUGGGGAGGUGCCACUGUGCCCAGAAGCCAGAGGUGUAAGGAGAAAAGGCACUCGGGGACAGACUGUAGGUUUCCUUCACAUGAAACUUCGUGGUACUAUGAUGUCUGAGCUAAGAAGAGACUAAGCAGCUUCACGAGUUCAUUGGCUCCUACGCCUUGGCCUUUUGACGGCAUGGCCUGCUGGGCCUCGGACUUCAGGCCUACAGUGGUAGGCAAGGCCAAGCCCGUGUGUGUCCCUGAGGGCAGGAGGGCUCAGACUGCUAAUACAGAACCAUCUACUCAUUUCCUAGACUGGGUUGUUUCUCAUCUUCCGGCCUUAAUUUUAUGAAAACGUUUAUUCCUACUUAUGGAAUUACUUGUCUAGGAUUAAAAAGUAACCACACAUUUAGGGUAAUAAUAUUGACAGUCUGUGAGUCUUUAAACUUCCAAGUUAACUUAUAUUACAAAUAUUAGUUCUAAGUAGUUAAAAUGUUAUAUAGUUUAUUUCUAGGCACUAACAAACAAAUGUGGCUGGCAGCACGAUAAGUUUUACCAGCAUCCACUAUAUGAACCAGCUCUGGCAAGGCUGGAGUACCAAUCUUUUGUCGUAAUGCAAGGGGACGGGGGUGGAGGGCGGAGGGAAUCCAAGUUGCUCACAGGAAGUACUGUGGACACUGGAAAAGCAGAGGAAGUGGUUUGUUUAUCUUGCUUUUUCUUUGCAACAGCGUGGUGUCAUCCAACAAAACUGAAUAAAGGACUAGGUUAGUCAUUUAUUAUCUGUGUGGCUUUAGGCAGACCAAGCAAUUUCUUUAAACUUCAUUGGCAAAAUGCUAAAAUAGUAUGUAUCAAUAUCAGUUCCAGAGUAUAGUUAUCCAGCUCAAAUUAGCCCAAGUAUAGGAAAUACUGUGUCAAUUAGAAAGUCCUAAAGAAAUACCAAUCGCUGUUACUGAUAUUAUUAUUUGAACGCCAGUGUACAUUCUGGAGGAGUUUCGAUAGCAUUUUAACGAACCUACGCAGGCCUUCAUUCAUUCAUUUACCGAACAUUUCCUGAGUGCCUACGAGGACCCAGGCACUGUCCCAACCCCUGGAAAUAAAUACAAUAAACACAUCACCGAACAGAAACAAGCUUAUGCCGUCAAGAGGCAGUGGGAUAGCAAAUAGGGACGCGAUCAACAGAUGAGGUCAGGCAGUGGUACAGGCCACGUAAGAACUGAAGCAGAGUUCUGGAAAGAGAAAGGGCUCUCUGAGGAGGCUUUGAAGAUUUUUCUUUUUUUUUUAUUUGACAGAUAGAGAUCACAGGUAGGCAGCGAGGCAGGCAGAGAGAGAGAGGAGGAAGCGGGCUCCCUGCCUAGCAGAGAGCCCUCUGAGGAGGCUUUGAAGCAGAAACUUCAAGUGACACGAGGAAGCAAGCCAUGUGGGAACGGGAACGCGUGUGCCUGGCGAGUCUGAGAGACGUCAAGGAUGCCUCUGUGACCUCAGAACCUGUGUCUACAGCAGCAGGAAGUGAUGUGAAAGAGGCGGCCAGUCACCGCUGGGCCUUGUUGGCCACCAUGAUAAUGGCUUUUUGAACUUUAUUCUAAGUGGAAAAGCAAGCCAUUGGAGGGUUUUAAAUAGGAUUCUAUUUGCUAUCUACUCACUAUUUACUAAGUCCUGCUACAUGCCAGAUACUACGCUAGGCUCUAGACAACUGUGAAAAAACAUGCUUCAUCUAUAUUUUCUCUAAGCUCAGUCU